This 1595-nucleotide non-coding RNA is filed under the name Saccharomyces paradoxus. RNAcentral's name for it is "small subunit ribosomal RNA". It matches the Rfam family "Bacterial small subunit ribosomal RNA". The record is from RNAcentral. Lineage: Eukaryota; Fungi; Ascomycota; Saccharomycetes; Saccharomycetales; Saccharomycetaceae.
AUAAAUAAGAAUAUGAUGUUGGUUCAGAUUAAGCGCUAAAUAAGGACAUGACACAUGCGAAUCAUACGUUUAUUAUUGAUAAGAUAAUAAAUAUGUGGUGUAAACGUGAGUAAUUUUAUUAGGAAUAAAUGAACUAUAGAAUAAGUUAAAUACUUAAUAAAUUUUAUAUAAAAAUAAUAAUUAUAUAAUAAUAAAGGAUAUAUAUAUAUAUAUUUAUCUAUAGUCAAGCCAAUAAUGGUUUAGGUAGUAGGUUUAUUAAGAGUUAAACCUAGCCAACGAUCCAUAAUCGUUAAUGAAAGUUAGAACGAUCACGUUGACUCUGAAAUAUAGUCAAUAUCUAUAAGAUACAGCAGUGAGGAAUAUUGGACAAUGAUCGAAAGAUUGAUCCAGUUACUUAUUAGGAUGAUAUAUAAAAAAUUUAUCUAUAAAAAUAUAUAAAUAAUAUAUAUAUAUAUAAAUUGAUUAAAAAUAAAAUCCAUAAAUAAUUAAAAUAAUGAUAUUAAUUACCAUAUAAUAAAAGUAUGGAUAUAUAAUAAUUAUAAUAUUAAUUUAUUAUAAUAAAUUAUAUAUUUUAAUAGUCCUGACUAAUAUUUGUGCCAGCAGUCGCGGUAACACAAAGAGGGCGAGCGUUAAUCAUAAUGGUUUAAAGGAUCCGUAGAAUGAAUUAUAUAAUUUAGAGUUAAUAAAUUUAAUUAAAGAAUUAUAAUAGUAAAGAUGAAAUAAUAAUAAUAAUUAUAAGACUAAUAUAUGUGAAAAUAUUAAUUAAAUAUUAACUGACAUUGAGGGAUUAAAACUAGAGUAGCGAAACGGAUUCGAUACCCGUGUAGUUCUAGUAGUAAACUAUGAAUACAAUUAUUUAUAAUAAAUAUAUAUAUAUAUAAAUAAUAAAUGAAAAUGAAAGUAUUCCACCUGAAGAGUACGUUAGCAAUAAUGAAACUCAAAACAAUAGACGGUUACAGACUUAAGCAGUGGAGCAUGUUAUUUAAUUCGAUAAUCCACGACUAACCUUACCAUAUUUUGAAUAUUAUAAUAAUUAUUAUAAAUUAUUAUAUUACAGGCGUUACAUUGUUGUCUUUAGUUCGUGCUGCAAAGUUUUAGAUUAAGUUCAUAAACGAACAAAACUCCAUAUAUAUAAUCUUAAUUAUAUAUAAUUUUAUAUUAUUUAUUAAUAUAAAGAAAGGAAUUAAGACAAAUCAUAAUGAUCCUUAUAAUAUGGGUAAUAGACGUGCUAUAAUAAAAUGAUAAUAAAAUUAUAUAAAAUAUAUAAAAAAAUAUAUUUAAUUAAUAAUAUAAAACAUUUUAACUUUUAAUAUAUUUUUAUAUUAUAUAUUAAUAUGAAUUAUAAUCUGAAAUUCGAUUAUAUGAAAAAAGAAUUGCUAGUAAUACGUAAAUUAGUAUGUUACGGUGAAUAUUCUAACUGUUUCGCACUAAUCACUCAUCACGCGUUGAAACAUAUUAUUAUCUUAUUAUUUAUUAAUAUCUCUUAAUUAUAUUAUAUAAUUAAUUAAUAUUUAUUUAUAUCAGAAAUAAUAUGAAUUAAUGCGAAGUUGAAAUACAGUUACCGUAGGGGAACCUGCGGUGGGCUUAUAAAUAUC